RNAcentral lists this ribosomal RNA (330 nucleotides) under Allapsidae sp. RNAcentral's name for it is "SSU rRNA". The stretch from base 57 to 330 matches the Rfam family "Eukaryotic small subunit ribosomal RNA", at positions 685 to 955 of the family's 1831-position model. The record is from RNAcentral. Lineage: Eukaryota; Cercozoa; Glissomonadida; Viridiraptoridae.
GAUUUCUGGCACGAUGUACCUGUCCCGCUGCGGUCAACGCAUGUGAGUGACGGAGUAUGUUUGCCAUCCUUCUAGAGAGCGCAAGCUAUCCUUUACUGGACCGGUUUGUGUCAUCUAGAUCUUUUACUUUGAAAAAAUUAGAGUGUUUCAAGCAGGCAUGUUUUGCUAUGAAUACAUUAGCAUGGAAUAAUAAUCUAGGACUUUCGGUUCUAUUUUGUUGGUGUUCUGGAGCUGAAGUAAUGAUUGAUAGGGAUAGUUGGGGGUGCUAGUAUUCAAUGGCCAGAGGUGAAAUUCUCGGAUUCCUUGAAGACUAACUUAUGCGAAAGCAUU